Molecule: ribosomal RNA, 253 nt
Filed under: uncultured bacterium
Lineage: Bacteria
Description: partial 16S ribosomal RNA
Rfam family: Bacterial small subunit ribosomal RNA
Source: RNAcentral
UACGGGGGGUGCAAGCGUUGUUCGGAAUUAUUGGGCGUAAAGCGCACGUAGGCGGAUCUGUAAGUCAAUUGUGAAAUCCUGGGGCUCAACCUCAGAAUUGCCUCCGAUACUGGCAGUCUCGAGUGCGGGAGAGGUGAGUGGAAUUCCCAGUGUAGAGGUGAAAUUCGUAGAUAUUGGGAAGAACACCAGUGGCGAAGGCGGCUCACUGGCCCGUAACUGACGCUGAGGUGCGAAAGCGUGGGGAGCAAACAGG